UGGAUGCUGACGAGCGGCGGACGGGUGAGUAAUGCAUAGGAAUCUGCCCGAUAGUGGGGGAUAACCUGGGGAAACCCAGGCUAAUACCGCAUACGUCCUACGGGAGAAAGGGGGCUCCGGCUCCCGCUAUGGGAUGAGCCUAUGUCGGAUUAGCUAGUUGGUGAGGUAACGGCUCACCAAGGCCACGAUCCGUAGCUGGUCUGAGAGGAUGAUCAGCCACAUCGGGACUGAGACACGGCCCGAACUCCUACGGGAGGCAGCAGUGGGGAAUAUUGGACAAUGGGGGAAACCCUGAUCCAGCCAUGCCGCGUGUGUGAAGAAGGCCCUCGGGUUGUAAAGCACUUUCAGCGAGGAAGAACGCCUAGCGGUUAAUACCCGCUAGGAAAGACAUCACUCGCAGAAGAAGCACCGGCUAACUCCGUGCCAGCAGCCGCGGUAAUACGGAGGGUGCAAGCGUUAAUCGGAAUUACUGGGCGUAAAGCGCGCGUAGGUGGCUUGA
Molecule: ribosomal RNA, 499 nt
Filed under: Halomonas sp.
Lineage: Bacteria; Pseudomonadati; Pseudomonadota; Gammaproteobacteria; Oceanospirillales; Halomonadaceae
Description: bacterial SSU rRNA
Rfam family: Bacterial small subunit ribosomal RNA
Source: RNAcentral